This 477-nucleotide ribosomal RNA is filed under the name uncultured bacterium. RNAcentral's name for it is "partial 16S ribosomal RNA". It matches the Rfam family "Bacterial small subunit ribosomal RNA", at positions 29 to 507 of the family's 1533-position model. The record is from RNAcentral.
AUGAACGCUGGCGGCGUGCUUAACACAUGCAAGUCGCACGAGAAGUGAAGACGGAAACCUUCGGGCGGAAGGCUUUAUUUCGAGUGGCGGACGGGUGAGUAACGCGUGGGUAACCUGCCUCAUACAGGGGGAUAACAGUUGGAAACGACUGUUAAUACCGCAUAAGACCACAGCACCGCAUGGUGCGGGGGUAAAAACUCCGGUGGUAUGAGAUGGACCCGCGUUCGAUUAGCCAGUUGGCGGGGUAACGGCCCACCAAAGCGACGAUCGAUAGCCGAUCUGAGAGGAUGACCGGCCACAUUGGGACUGAGACACGGCCCAAACUCCUACGGGAGGCAGCAGUGGGGAAUAUUGCACAAUGGGGGAAACCCUGAUGCAGCGACGCCGCGUGAGUGAAGAAGUAUUUCGGUAUGUAAAGCUCUAUCAGCAGGGAAGAAAAUGACGGUACCUGAGUAAGAAACCCCGGCUAACUACGUG